CAUGCGAGUCGAACGCAGUAGCAAUACUGAGUGGCAAACGGGUGAGUAUAAUGUGGGAAUCUGCCUUUUGGUUUGGAAUAACACGGGGAAACUCGUGCUAAUACCGAAUAAGCCUUUACAGGGAAAGUUUUAACGCCGAAAGAUGAGCCCGCACUUGAUUAGCUAGUUGGUAAGGUAAAAGCUUACCAAGGCAAUGAUCAAUAGCUGUUCUUAGAGGAAGACCAGCCACAUUGGGACUGAGACACGGCCCAGACUCCUACGGGAGGCAGCAGUGGGGAAUCUUGCACAAUGGGGGAAACCCUGAUGCAGCGAUGCCGCGUGAGUGAAGAAGGCCUUUGGGUUGUAAAACUCUUUCGUCGGGGAAGAAAAUGACUGUACCCGAAUAAGAAGGUCCGGCUAACUUCGUGCCAGCAGCCGCGGUAAUACGAAGGGACCUAGCGUAGUUCGGAAUUACUGGGCUUAAAGAGCUCGUAGGUGGUUAAAAAGUUGAUGGUGAAAUCCCAAGGCUUAACCUUGGAACUGCCAUCAAAACUUUUUAGCUAGAGUGUGAUAGAGGUAAGUGGAAUUUCUAGUGUAGAGGUGAAAUUCGUAGAUAUUAGAAAGAACACCAAAUGCGAAGGCAACUUACUGGGUCACUACUGACACUGAGGAGCGAAAGCAUGGGUAGCGAAGAGGAUUAGAUACCCUCGUAGUCCAUGCCGUAAACGAUGUGUGCUAGACGUUGGAAAUAUAUUUUUCAGUGUCGCAGCGAAAGCAUUAAGCACACCGCCUGGGGAGUACGACCGCAAGGUUAAAACUCAAAUGAAUUGACGGGGACCCGCACGAGCAGUGGAGCAUGUGGUUUAAUUCGAAGAUACGCGCAGAACCUUACCAACACUUGACAUGUUCGUCGCGAGCCUAAGAGAUUAGGCUUUUCAGUUUGGCUGGACGAAACACAGGUGCUGCAUGGCUGUCGUCAGCUCGUGUCGUGAGA
Molecule: ribosomal RNA, 973 nt
Filed under: uncultured marine bacterium
Lineage: Bacteria
Description: bacterial SSU rRNA
Rfam family: Bacterial small subunit ribosomal RNA
Source: RNAcentral